RNAcentral lists this ribosomal RNA (758 nucleotides) under uncultured bacterium. RNAcentral describes it as "bacterial SSU rRNA". It matches the Rfam family "Bacterial small subunit ribosomal RNA", at positions 8 to 796 of the family's 1533-position model. The record is from RNAcentral.
AGAGUUUGAUCAUGGCUCAGAAUCAACGCUGGCGGCGCGCCUAACACAUGCAAGUCGAACGAGAAAGCGGGAGCAAUCUCGCAAGUACAGUGGCGUACGGGUGAGUAACACGUGGAUCAUCUGCCCUGGAGUGGGGAAUAACGCUGGGAGACCGGCGCUAAUACCGCAUAUUCCCGAGAGGGGAAAGCAGCAAUGCGCUCGAGGAGGAGUCCGCGGCCGAUUAGCUAGUUGGCAGGGUAAAAGCCUACCAAGGCUAUGAUCGGUAGCCGGCCUGAGAGGGCACACGGCCACACUGGCACUGAAACACGGGCCAGACUCCUACGGGAGGCAGCAGUGGGGAAUCUUGCACAAUGGGGGAAACCCUGAUGCAGCGACGCCGCGUGAGCGAUGAAGCCCUUCGGGGUGUAAAGCUCUUUCGGCAGGGAAGAUUAUGACGGUACCUGCAGAAGCAGCUGCGGCUAACUACGUGCCAGCAGCCGCGGUAAUACGUAGGCAGCAAGCGUUGUUCGGAGUUACUGGGCGUAAAGGGUGUGUAGGCGGCCUGUUAAGUUCCGUGUGAAAUCUCCCGGCUCAACCGGGAGGGUGCGCGGAAAACUGGCGGGCUAGAGUACGGGAUGGGAGAGUAGAAUUCCUGGUGUAGCGGUGAAAUGCGUAGAUAUCAGGAGGAAUACCUGUGGUGUAGACGGCUCUCUGGACCGUAACUGACGCUGAAACACGAAAGCGUGGGUAGCAAACAGGAUUAGAUACCCUAGUAGUCC